RNAcentral lists this unclassified non-coding RNA (374 nucleotides) under Hevea brasiliensis (rubber tree). Lineage: Eukaryota; Viridiplantae; Streptophyta; Magnoliopsida; Malpighiales; Euphorbiaceae. The record is from RNAcentral.
AUGAAAUUCUCAUCCAUUCUCUUGAACCCAUCUCACCACAGUCAUCCAAAGUCUCUAGAAAAGAAAAGAAAAGAAAAGAAGAAAAAAAAAGCUAAAAAGAAAAACCAAAAUANACCAAAAUAAGACAUCUGAUCACUACAAUUUCCAGUAAAUUUCUAAACCUCUAAAUUCAGUAGACUCGGAUAACCUCAUCUGAUCCUACAAAUCAAAACAAGUGUGCAUGCAAAAUUACCNCAUGCAAAAUUACCUCACUAGAAUGGGGAUCCCUUUUUGUUUUGUUUGUUCCCCAUGCCCCCAUCCUGGUCCUAUCAGGGAGUUUUACUUUAUCAUUCCCCCUUCAUUACACAAUUAAAUGGAUGAUGUUAGGACCUAAA